UGAUAGCUAUGAAGCGUGAGGUUGCUGCACAUGUUGCAGGUUUUCCGUGGAGCGAAUGUCAGUGGCGGAUAUAUGUUCCGCCGAUAAUAUUGACGACAA
RNAcentral lists this non-coding RNA (99 nucleotides) under unclassified sequences. Its description in RNAcentral is "S10-Clostridia ribosomal protein leader". The stretch from base 1 to 87 matches the Rfam family "S10-Clostridia ribosomal protein leader". The record is from RNAcentral.